AGCGAACGCUGGCGGCAGGCUUAACACAUGCAAGUCGAACGGGCACUUCGGUGUCAGUGGCAGACGGGUGAGUAACACGUGGGAACGCACCUCUUGGUUCGGAACAACACAGGGAAACUUGUGCUAAUACCGGAUAAGCCCUUACGGGGAAAGAUUUAUCGCCGAGAGAUCGGCCCGCGUCUGAUUAGCUAGUUGGUAAGGUAACGGCCUACCAAGGCGACGAUCAGUAGCUGGUCUGAGAGGAUGAUCAGCCACAUUGGGACUGAGACACGGACCAAACUCCUACGGGAGGCAGCAGUGGGGAAUAUUGGACAAUGGGGGCAACCCUGAUCCAGCCAUGCCGCGUGAGUGAUGAAGGCCCUAGGGUUGUAAAGCUCUUUUGUGCGGGAAGAUAAUGACGGUACCGCAAGUAUAAGCCCCGGCUAACUUCGUGCCAGCAGCCGCCGUAA
RNAcentral lists this ribosomal RNA (449 nucleotides) under uncultured bacterium. RNAcentral describes it as "partial 16S ribosomal RNA". It matches the Rfam family "Bacterial small subunit ribosomal RNA", at positions 29 to 523 of the family's 1533-position model. The record is from RNAcentral.